GAGGAUAUAGCUUAGUGGUUACAGUACAUGCUUAGCAUGCAUGAGCUCUUGGGUUCAAUCCCCGGAACCUCU
RNAcentral lists this transfer RNA (72 nucleotides) under Camelus bactrianus (Bactrian camel). It matches the Rfam family "tRNA". Rfam says of the family: Transfer RNA (tRNA) molecules are approximately 80 nucleotides in length. Their secondary structure includes four short double-helical elements and three loops (D, anti-codon, and T loops). RNAcentral also lists the same sequence under 2 other names. Lineage: Eukaryota; Metazoa; Chordata; Mammalia; Artiodactyla; Camelidae. The record is from Rfam by way of RNAcentral.